This 277-nucleotide ribosomal RNA is filed under the name uncultured prokaryote. RNAcentral describes it as "partial 16S ribosomal RNA". It matches the Rfam family "Bacterial small subunit ribosomal RNA", at positions 524 to 800 of the family's 1533-position model. The record is from RNAcentral.
UACGAAGGGGGCUAGCGUUGCUCGGAAUUACUGGGCGUAAAGGGAGCGUAGGCGGACAUUUAAGUCAGGGGUGAAAUCCCGGGGCUCAACCUCGGAAUUGCCUUUGAUACUGGGUGUCUUGAGUAUGAGAGAGGUGUGUGGAACUCCGAGUGUAGAGGUGAAAUUCGUAGAUAUUCGGAAGAACACCAGUGGCGAAGGCGACACACUGGCUCAUUACUGACGCUGAGGCUCGAAAGCGUGGGGAGCAAACAGGAUUAGAUACCCGGGUAGUCCCUGA